UACGGAGGGUGCAAACGUUGCUCGGAAUCAUUGGGCGUAAAGCGCACGUAGGCGGUCCGUUAAGUCGGAUGUGAAAGCCCCGGGCUCAACCCGGGAAGUGCAUACGAAACUGGCGGACUUGAAUAUGGAAGAGGGUCGCGGAAUUCCCGGUGUAGAGGUGAAAUUCGUAGAUAUCGGGAGGAACACCAGUGGCGAAGGCGGCGACCUGGGCCAAUAUUGACGCUGAGGUGCGAAAGCGUGGGGAGCAAAC
This 250-nucleotide ribosomal RNA is filed under the name uncultured bacterium. Its description in RNAcentral is "partial 16S ribosomal RNA". It matches the Rfam family "Bacterial small subunit ribosomal RNA", at positions 524 to 773 of the family's 1533-position model. The record is from RNAcentral.